GAUGAAGAACGUAGCGAAAAGCGAUACUUGGUGUGAAUUGCAGAAUCCCGUGAACCAUCGAGUCUUUGAACGCAAGUUGCGCCCGAAGCCAUUAGGCCGAGGGCACGCCUGCCUGGGCGUCACACGUCGUUGCCCCCCCAUCUACUCCUUCGGGAUUGCGGGGGGCGGAUGAUGGCCUCUCGUGCGCCUCGUCGCGCGGUUGGCCUAAAUGCCAAGUCCUCGGCGACGCACGCCACGACAAUCGGUGGUUGCGAAACCUCGGUUGCCUGUCGUGUGCGGUCGUCGCGCAUCGAGGGCUCGAAAAAAUUGCCGGGCUUCGGCUCGACUUUCAACGCGACCCCAGGUCAGGCGGGGUUACCCGCUGAAUUUAAGCAUAUCAAUAAGCGGAGGA
Molecule: unclassified non-coding RNA, 391 nt
Filed under: soil metagenome
Description: partial contains 5.8S ribosomal RNA, internal transcribed spacer 2, and large subunit ribosomal RNA
Rfam family: 5.8S ribosomal RNA (bases 1-122)
Source: RNAcentral